GGAAGACUAUCACAUGUGAGCUGGAAGACUGCCAACAUGGAGACACGGAGAGAGCAAGGCCAGAACAACUAAGAUGCCUAAAUGGUUUGAACCCCAAACCUGUCAUAAGAAGUACAGAAUUCUCUGAUGCUUAUCUCAGAAAGAAGAGUCCGCCGCACUGCGCCCCUCCCCCUGCUACCCCCAAGGACAAGAGCCAUAAGAGCUUCCUGGAUCCACCAUUUUGAGGAGGACUACUACUGAAACUGCAGAAGAUGCUUCACAACACACACACACACACACACCACAAAACAAAACGAAAAACAAAAAACCCCGGCCUGCCAUGCCUUCACAUGUCUAAUGAGCACAAAGUGUUCCCAAAACUGAACCAUGCCCACAUAUUUCUUUAUUUAUAACUGGAAUGCAACCUGUAAUGUACAAAUUAUAGGGUAAAAGGCA
Molecule: long non-coding RNA, 435 nt
Organism: Hemicordylus capensis (graceful crag lizard)
Lineage: Eukaryota; Metazoa; Chordata; Lepidosauria; Squamata; Cordylidae
Exons: 2
Source: RefSeq, a predicted model, not a curated record